GGAGGGAUGGCAGAGCUGGUUGAUUGCACCGGUCUUGAAAACCGGCAUAGGUGGAAGCCUAUCGGGGGUUCGAAUCCCUCUCCCUCCGCCA
RNAcentral lists this transfer RNA (91 nucleotides) under Desulfovibrio sp. OttesenSCG-928-I05. Its description in RNAcentral is "tRNA-Ser". It matches the Rfam family "tRNA". Rfam says of the family: Transfer RNA (tRNA) molecules are approximately 80 nucleotides in length. Their secondary structure includes four short double-helical elements and three loops (D, anti-codon, and T loops). Further hydrogen bonds mediate the characteristic L-shaped molecular structure. tRNAs have two regions of fundamental functional importance: the anti-codon, which is responsible for specific mRNA codon recognition, and the 3' end, to which the tRNAs corresponding amino acid is attached (by aminoacyl-tRNA synthetases). tRNAs cope with the degeneracy of the genetic code in two manners: having more than one tRNA (with a specific anti-codon) for a particular amino acid; and 'wobble' base-pairing, i.e. permitting non-standard base-pairing at the 3rd anti-codon position. The record is from RNAcentral. Lineage: Bacteria; Pseudomonadati; Thermodesulfobacteriota; Desulfovibrionia; Desulfovibrionales; Desulfovibrionaceae.